ACUGGGAUCGUUCAGUCGGUAGAGCACGAGGUUCUUAAAUCUCAGGGUUGCGGGUUCGAGCCCCACCUUGGGCA
Molecule: non-coding RNA, 74 nt
Organism: Podarcis lilfordi (Lilford's wall lizard)
Lineage: Eukaryota; Metazoa; Chordata; Lepidosauria; Squamata; Lacertidae
Source: the annotation of a GenBank genome assembly